UUAUGGCUCAGAUUGAACGCUGGCGGCAUGCCUUACACAUGCAAGUCGAACGGCAGCGCGGGGCAACCUGGCGGCGAGUGGCGAACGGGUGAGUAAUAUAUCGGAACGUACCCUGGAGUGGGGGAUAACGUAGCGAAAGUUACGCUAAUACCGCAUACGAUCUAAGGAUGAAAUGGGGGAUCGCAAGACCUCAUGCUCCUGGAGCGGCCGAUAUCUGAUUAGCUAGUUGGUGGGGUAAAGGCCUACCAAGGCAUCGAUCAGUAGCUGGUCUGAGAGGACGACCAGCCACACUGGAACUGAGACACGGUCCAGACUCCUACGGGAGGCAGCAGCUAAGAAUCUUCCGCAAUGGGCGAAAGCCUGACGGAGCGAACCGCCGCGUGAACGAAGAAGGCCGUGAGGUUGUAAAGUUCUUUUCGGGAGGGGGAACAACCGUGGCAGGGAAUGGCCGCGGGAUGACGUGAAUCCCGGAAUAAGCCCCGGCUAACUACGUGCCAGCCGCGGC
RNAcentral lists this ribosomal RNA (505 nucleotides) under uncultured bacterium. RNAcentral's name for it is "bacterial SSU rRNA". It matches the Rfam family "Bacterial small subunit ribosomal RNA", at positions 17 to 518 of the family's 1533-position model. The record is from RNAcentral.